This 376-nucleotide ribosomal RNA is filed under the name uncultured organism. Its description in RNAcentral is "partial 16S ribosomal RNA". It matches the Rfam family "Bacterial small subunit ribosomal RNA", at positions 527 to 896 of the family's 1533-position model. The record is from RNAcentral.
GUAGGUGGCAAGCGUUGUCCGGAAUUAUUGGGCGUAAAGCGCGCGCAGGCGGUCCUUUAAGUCUGAUGUGAAAGCCCACGGCUCAACCGUGGAGGGUCAUUGGAAACUGGGGGACUUGAGUACAGAAGAGGAAAGCGGAAUUCCAAGUGUAGCGGUGAAAUGCGUAGAGAUUUGGAGGAACACCAGUGGCGAAGGCGGCUUUCUGGUCUGUAACUGACGCUGAGGCGCGAAAGCGUGGGGAGCAAACAGGAUUAGAUACCCUGGUAGUCCACGCCGUAAACGAUGAGUGCUAAGUGUUAGGGGGGUUUCCCGCCCCCCUUAGUGCUGCAGCUAACGCAUUAAGCACUCCGCCUGGGGAGUACGGCCCGCAAGGCUG